AAGUCGUAACAAGGUUUCCGUGAACCUGCGGAAGGAUCAUUAACACGUAUCCAACGUUAAACAACCCUGUGAACCUUCAUUCCUGCUCUCCUCGUCCCUUGAUAAAGCAAUCCCUGGUAAAUCACGCGAACAGUUUGAUUCAGGGACCUCUUUUGAUACGCACUUGGAUUCGAUGCGGCGUCGUAAUUUAGACUGGUAAGGCUAUCAACGAGUAAAAUCGUUGACUGACGAUAAAGGAUGCUGCUUAACAAGCAGAUCACUGGCUCACGGUCAGUGGACAAGUCUCUGGGCUUCGGCCCCCCAUAUUAACCCCAGUUCUCAAUUCGGAGGAUGCGGAAACGCUCCUCAUAAAAACGAACAACCGUUAACAAUGGAUAUCUUGGUUCUC
Molecule: unclassified non-coding RNA, 388 nt
Filed under: fungal sp.
Lineage: Eukaryota; Fungi
Description: partial internal transcribed spacer region
Source: RNAcentral